Molecule: ribosomal RNA, 436 nt
Filed under: uncultured bacterium
Lineage: Bacteria
Description: bacterial SSU rRNA
Rfam family: Bacterial small subunit ribosomal RNA
Source: RNAcentral
AACGCGAAGAACCUUACCUGGGCUUGACAUGGAUUUCUAAGCACGUGAAAGGGUGUGACCCUUCGGGGGACUUCCACAGGUGCUGCAUGGGCGUCGUCAGCUCGUGUCGUGAGAUGUUGGGUUAAGUCCCGCAACGAGCGCAACCCUUGUGACUAGUUGCCAGCGCGUUAAGGCGGGAACUCUAGUCAGACUGCCCAGAUCAACUGGGAGGAAGGUGGGGAGGACGUCAGGUCAUUAUGGCCCUUACGCCCAGGGCUGCACACGUACUACAAUGCCCAGUACAAUGAGAACCGAAACCGCGAGGUGGAGGAAAUCUGGAAAACUGGGCCCAGUUCGGAUUGGAGGCUGCAACUCGCCUCCAUGAAGUUGGAAUCGCUAGUAAUGGCGCAUCAUCUACGGCGCCGUGAAUACCUUCCCGGGUCUUGUACACACCGAA